GGGUUGUAAACCUCUUUUAUAAGGGAAGAAUAAGUUCUACGUGUAGAAUGAUGCCUGUACCUUAUGAAUAAGCAUCGGCUGACUCCGUGCCAGCAGCCGCGGUAAUACGGAGGAUGCGAGCGUUAUCCGGAUUUAUUGGGUUUAAAGGGUGCGUAGGCGGUUUAUUAAGUUAGUGGUUAAAUAUUUGAGCUAAACUCAAUUGUGCCAUUAAUACUGGUAAACUGGAGUACAGACGAGGUAGGCGGAAUAAGUUAAGUAGCGGUGAAAUGCAUAGAUAUAACUUAGAACUCCGAUAGCGAAGGCAGCUUACCAGACUGUAACUGACGCUGAUGCACGAGAGCGUGGGUAGCGAACAGGAUUAGAUACCCUGGUAGUCCACGCCGUAAACGAUGCUCACUGGUUCUGUGCGCAUAUAUUGUACGGGAUUAAGCGAAAGUAUUAAGUGAGCCACCUGGGGAGUA
This 461-nucleotide ribosomal RNA is filed under the name uncultured bacterium. Its description in RNAcentral is "bacterial SSU rRNA". It matches the Rfam family "Bacterial small subunit ribosomal RNA", at positions 420 to 882 of the family's 1533-position model. The record is from RNAcentral.